UUUCCGUAGGUGAACCUGCGGAAGGAUCAUUACCGAGCGAUGGCCCUCUGGGUCCAACCUCCAACCCGUGUCCCUUGUACCUCGUUGCUUCGGCGGGCCCGCCUCACGGCCGCCCUGGGGCAUCUCGCCCCCGGGCCCGCGCCCGCCCAAGACACCCACGAACUCUUUCUGAAGAAUUCCGGUCGAGUGAAAUUAUAAAUUAUUUAAAACUUUCAACAACGGAUCUCUUGGUUCCG
This 236-nucleotide unclassified non-coding RNA is filed under the name plant metagenome. RNAcentral's name for it is "partial contains small subunit ribosomal RNA, internal transcribed spacer 1, and 5.8S ribosomal RNA". The record is from RNAcentral.